AUGAUUUGGUCAGUAUCUUGCCACUGGGUAUCUGAUUAUGAGGUAUUUGGCAAACGGGAACUUACCGGGGUAUCCGGAUGA
This 81-nucleotide ribosomal RNA is filed under the name Triticum aestivum (bread wheat). RNAcentral's name for it is "partial small subunit ribosomal RNA". Lineage: Eukaryota; Viridiplantae; Streptophyta; Magnoliopsida; Poales; Poaceae. The record is from RNAcentral.